GCUACAGAUAGCUCAAUUGGUUAGGACGUGGUGCUGAUAACGCCAAGGUUGCAGGUUUGAUCCCCAUAUGGGGCAGCU
Podarcis lilfordi (Lilford's wall lizard) is the source of this 78-nucleotide non-coding RNA. Lineage: Eukaryota; Metazoa; Chordata; Lepidosauria; Squamata; Lacertidae. The record is from the annotation of a GenBank genome assembly.